Molecule: transfer RNA, 69 nt
Filed under: Zichya tenggerensis
Lineage: Eukaryota; Metazoa; Arthropoda; Insecta; Orthoptera; Tettigoniidae
Description: tRNA-Trp
Rfam family: tRNA
About the family: Transfer RNA (tRNA) molecules are approximately 80 nucleotides in length. Their secondary structure includes four short double-helical elements and three loops (D, anti-codon, and T loops).
Source: RNAcentral
AAGGCUUUAAGUUAAAUAAACUAAUAGCCUUCAAAGCUAUAAAUAAAGACACUAAAUUUUUAAGCCUUA